AUGCGAGGAUGCAGAGUUUUGAGGAGUGUGGCAGCACAUGUUCACCAGGUAUGCUUCACGCGUCCCAACCCCAAUCAUGGGGAGACACUGUCACUUCAAGAGGAAGAUGUGGAGAACAUUGUGUUUUUACGUGAUUCCAAGCUUGUUGAGGACAAGGAGCUGGGAUCCUUUACGCCACCUGCAUGGAAUGAGCACCAGCCAAGGGCAGUGCAACGCCACAACAAGGGACUAUGCACUAAUUAUAACACUUGGAUCCUCCACCGUCGAAGGUACUAUACGCUGAUCAUCAAGGGCCGCUCGUUAUCUCCUGAUGGUCAGGCGGUUCUGCUAAAGAUCGAGGACAUCAGAAAGGAAGUUGACCUUCUGCUUGAAAAGAUCAGGGUGCUUGAGGGCCGACCCUUUAUGAUUCCUGAUGUCCUUGAAACGGACAUGAAACUCAAGGGUGUCGGGUCCAGCAAGAAGAAGUAA
RNAcentral lists this ribosomal RNA (468 nucleotides) under Triticum aestivum (bread wheat). RNAcentral's name for it is "partial small subunit ribosomal RNA". The record is from RNAcentral. Lineage: Eukaryota; Viridiplantae; Streptophyta; Magnoliopsida; Poales; Poaceae.